UAUGAGCUGAGAACAGAAGGGUGACAAUGACAAGCCCAACAAUAAUGAUCUAUAAUUAUUGAGCAUUUAAUUAUAUUCUAGUCAUUUACAUACAUUAAUUCACUAUGUCCUGGGAUUCAUGCUCCCAACGCCUUGCUUUAAAAACUCUCUGCUCUUGUGGUUAAGUUCUAUGAAGAAUUGGAGAAAACCAUUUCAGAAAAAGGAGUGGCAGUUGGAAAGUCUCUAAGCCAGUAUGAAGCCAGGAGUAACAACACCAAAUCCGAGUUUCAUCUACAGCCACUAUGGGGCCAUUUAUGUCUGUAGAGAACCUGAGGCAAAGACUUCAUGGCCCUGACCUCCUGGAAUGCCACCAUAAUGGAGCAAGGACCACGGAUGUAUAUGGAGGGUUUGGAGUGUGGUUUACAGAUCAAAUAAGAAAGAAGGAGGCAGAUCGUGGGAAAUGAGGCUCCCACUCACUAGGGGUAACCUGACUAUUGGCUGAAAGACGAUACAGUAUAAAAAGUUGACAUUAGA
Long non-coding RNA from Zalophus californianus (California sea lion), 513 nucleotides. RefSeq lists it as uncharacterized. The record is from RefSeq and is a predicted model, not a curated record. NCBI's taxonomy places the organism in Eukaryota, Metazoa, Chordata, Mammalia, Carnivora, Otariidae. The transcript has 3 exons.